UGCUGCGGAAGGAUCAUUACAGUAUUCUUUUUGCCAGCGCUUAAUUGCGCGGCGAAAAAACCUUACACACAGUGUUUUUUGUUAUUACAAGAACUUUUGCUUUGGUCUGGACUAGAAAUAGUUUGGGCCAGAGGUUUACUGAACUAAACUUCAAUAUUUAUAUUGAAUUGUUAUUUAUUUAAUUGUCAAUUUGUUGAUUAAAUUCAAAAAAUCUUCAAAACUUUCAACAACGGAUCUCUUGGUUCUCGCAUCGAUGAAGAACGCAGCGAAAUGCGAUAAGUAAUAUGAAUUGCAGAUUUUCGUGAAUCAUCGAAUCUUUGAACGCACAUUGCGCCCUCUGGUAUUCCAGAGGGCAUGCCUGUUUGAGCGUCAUUUCUCUCUCAAACCUUCGGGUUUGGUAUUGAGUGAUACUCUUAGUCGAACUAGGCGUUUGCUUGAAAUGUAUUGGCAUGAGUGGUACUGGAUAGUGCUAUAUGACUUUCAAUGUAUUAGGUUUAUCCAACUCGUUGAAUAGUUUAAUGGUAUAUUUCUCGGUAUUCUAGGCUCGGCCUUACAAUAUAACAAACAAGUUUGACCUCAAAUCAGGUAGGAUUACCCGCUGAACUUAAGCAUAUCAUAACCGGGAGGAAAU
RNAcentral lists this ribosomal RNA (631 nucleotides) under Debaryomyces hansenii. Its description in RNAcentral is "eukaryotic LSU rRNA". The stretch from base 219 to 372 matches the Rfam family "5.8S ribosomal RNA". The record is from RNAcentral. Lineage: Eukaryota; Fungi; Ascomycota; Pichiomycetes; Serinales; Debaryomycetaceae.